RNAcentral lists this ribosomal RNA (506 nucleotides) under uncultured bacterium. RNAcentral describes it as "partial 16S ribosomal RNA". It matches the Rfam family "Bacterial small subunit ribosomal RNA", at positions 29 to 523 of the family's 1533-position model. The record is from RNAcentral.
AGUGAACGCUGGCGGUAGGCCUAACACAUGCAAGUCGAACGGCAGCACAGGAGAGCUUGCUCUCUGGGUGGCGAGUGGCGGACGGGUGAGGAAUACAUCGGAAUCUACUCUGUCGUGGGGGCUAACGUAGGGAAACUUACGCUAAUACCGCACACGACCUACGGGGGAAAGCAGGGGACCUUCGGGCCCUGCGAGAUCGAAUGCGCCGGUGUCGGAUUAGCUAGUUGGCGGGGUACAGGCCCACCAAGGCGACGAUCCUUAGCUGGUCUGAGAGGAUGCUCAGCCACACUGGAACUUAGACACGGUCCAGACGCCUACGGGAGGCAGCAGUUGGGAAUAUUGGACAAUGGGCGCAAGCCUGAUCCAGCCAUACCGCGUGGGUGAAGAAGGCCUUCGGGUUGUAAAGCCCUUUUGUUGGGAAAGAAAUCCAGCUGGCUAAUACCCGGUUGGGAUGACGGUACCCAAAGAAUAAGCACCGGCUAACUUCGUGCCAGCCGCCGCGGUAA